CAAAAGUUAUGAUGUCACCAUGGCCGUAUCCAGGUUUUAAAAUCAGUGAGGUCUGGGGUAGGGUUAAGAAUUGUGCUAUAAUAACCCCAAAUACAACUCAUUACACUUUAAUAGAGAAAUUUUUUGACUUUGUAAAAAAACCAAAUUAAACCACAAUUGGCUCGGUGCACAAGAUGGCGCCGGUGAGCUUCGGCGACGCGAGUGUGUGCAUACUUACUUCCGGUCUUGCGACAUUCAAAUUCACUGUACUGGAAAGUUACAUAAGAAACUUGGCUAAAUAGAUAUAAUGUUUUUCAAAUUAAAUUGCAGAUGGUGGCAUAUCAAAGACAAGAGAAAACAUCCUCCCUACAUUAUUGCGCACUUCUGUGUAGAUAAAAAAAACGUUCUGACUGCUAUUUAUAAGAUCAUGAGGAUUAUGACUGUCAAAUAAGACACUCAAGAGAUUUCUGCAUGUAUGUUUUAUUAACUUUAUUUGAUUACAUAAUUUAUAACUGUAAAUGUACAAUUUAACAAUGUAAUUAUGGUAGAUUUUCAUUAAUUAAAAGAUCGGUGUUUGCAUUUCCCUGUGUAUUUUUAAUAAUAUUUAUCUGUUUAGUGAAAGAUCUGUUGCAUAAAUCAUUAUCUGUCUAUAAGCAGUGCAUGUAUAUUUUUAUGAUUUCUUUUGCAUUAAUUAUCAGAUAAAACAAAUCUUUAAAUUAGUCACGUAUUAGUUGCAUCCUUUUACAUCCCUUUUUUUUCAUUUAAAAAAUAUGUUUGAUGCUAAGUUAACUUUGUGUAAAAUAUUAAAAUAUGUUGUGAAAAUGAUGAUGGAACAAACUGAUGUAUCCUAAUAAUAGCCAUGUAGAUCUUAUUUGCAUUUGAAGUGAUAAUAUAAAUCCUGUAAACAUAUAUAGAAGGCAAUAUCUGGAUUUCUCCAGUUCUCUGCACCGGCGUUUAGCAAAACCAGAAGUAGCUAUGCACAUACUUGCCCAACCGGAAAUCCAAGAUGGCGGAGAUGCAACUAGCCCGUACUCAAUGAACUAGACUUCUUCGUGGAUAGUGUUUGCAUAUAUAUAUAUUUUUUAUUUCAUUCUGUCCUAAAGAUCUCUGCACCAGUGUGGAAGGAAAUGUGUGUGUGUUGAUGUCUUUCUUCUCUUCCUGAAAAACCAGUUCAACUGAAAGUGAAAGAUUUCUGAGCUGCUUUUCAACACAACAGUUAAGAAGAAAUAGAAGAAUCUACAGUACAAAUAUCAUUUGAGAAUCUAAUCUUUGACCUCAGACGACAAACAAACAGAGGCGGACAAAGUACACAACUUCAUUACUUGAGUGAAAGUACAGAUACUACUGGUCAAAUACUACUCCACUACAAGUGAAAGUUGUAAAGACAGAUUUUUACUUAAGUUUUUAAAAGUACUUAAGUAUCAAAAGUAAAAACUGUGAACUGGUGAAGGACGAUGGCGUCUGUUGAAGAUCUGCUCCUGAAAUCACUGAGGAACCUGGUGGAAGAUGAACUGAAGGAGUUUCAGUGGUACUUAGAGAAAGAUCAUGAGUGUAUAUCAAAGUCUGAAAUGGAGAAUGCAAAUAGGUUAAAAACAGUGGAUAAGGUGGUUGCAUGUUUUGGACCAGAAGAAGCUGUGACGAUCACUGUGGUCAUCCUGAGGAAGAUGAACCACAACCAUCUGGCUGACCAGCUAGAGAAAAAUCACAAGCAAGUUGACAAAGCUCCAGUCCAGAAGAGAAGCAGUGCUCAGCCUGAAUCCCAUGUUGUUAACAUCAGAGCUGAAAAUGGUACCAGUGUAAAUGCUCCUGUAAUGAUUGGAAACAACUUCAGUGGAUCAGUAACCUUUAAUAAAUAGGGCUGCCAAAUUCAGAACAGGAAAAUUAGGUAAAUUGGAUUUUUUUUUUUUUAUCAGUGCACUAGAGCUCUCACAUGCUGCUGCCGGGUAUGCAUCUCUCACUCUUAGAUUCAUCUUUGAGCAACUGAUGUUACGUAAUGAUCUGAAUUGGAACUGAAUUUAAUUCUGAAUUGUAUUCUUAGUGUUUAAUUAUGUAAUUGAAAUGAUACAUUUUUACCUGACAAAUAAAAUGUUUUAUUUAUUCAGAUCUCUUCUGAAAUCAUUAUGACUGGUAGAUUAAAGUCCCAUUCAGACGGUAAUUGUUUCUCAUAUGGAUGUCUGUAAAAAUUAAUUUACAUAUCACCUCAGUGAUAAAACUCAUAGAUUCGAAUGGCGAUUUAUUUACAGUGGAGGAGCGAGUUCUGCACUGCUCACAUGGCCAGUCACGUGAUUAUUCUUAUUAUUGUGUAAAUUGUAUUUUAAAAAAUACUUAUGUAAAAUGUAUUCUUAUUAUUCCAAGCAUAUUUUAUAAUAUAUAAUCCUAUUUAUUAUUUGAUUAUUUAAAUCUCCUGUUUAAAAAUAGGAAAAUAGACGUGCUAUAGUUGUAUAUAAUUAUAUGCGAUGUAGGCUAGUUAUCUGUUUAUAAUACACAUUUUAAAAAUUGCAUUGCAUACCUGCUGCUGCCACAAUAAAGACCCAUUUCGAAUGUUUACGUGUUUUUCUUCUCUUUCUGCUCCCAGUCGCUGUGGUGGAGCAGUUGUGAAGUAUUUCCAGCAUUUCAGAAAUAAAUAUGUAUGCAAAUCACACCGAAGUACAAUAUUUACCGUACGGUGUUCAGGAGUGCUCAAAAAGGGAUUAAACACUGAAUUUUGAAUCGAUUUCUUCUCGUAAACUCAAGAGAUGUGGAUUCGGACGGCAAUUAAAUCACCACACGGCCUUGGUGUUUGUCAAAAAACAGUAUGUAAUUCGGCCGGGAAUUUCUACGGGGGUGGUGAGAGACAAACACUGACAUUCUGGAUUCGGACGGCAUUAAGAUCACCUACUACCCCCUGUGUAUGGUGAAAAUCACUUAUGUCCCCUGAGAAACAAUUACCGUCUGAAUAGGGUUUAAGUGGAGUCUGGUAUUACCACAGAAUACCAGACUUGGUCCUGGAGGGCCGGUGUCCUGCAGAGUUUAUCUCUAACCCUAAUUAAACACACCUGCACCAGAUAAUCAAGAGGCUUGUUUGAGAUGACCUAAAUCUGUGCAGAACCGAUCACCAGUGAUCAGAGCAAGAUUACUUACUUACUUACUUACUUACUUACAGACGACGACAGUUACUUCCUGUUUUUACAACAGAUGAAGGUGUUUGGAUAGACACCGAAACGUCUUAAGCUUUUUAUAGUCCAGUGAUUUUAAUGAAAAUUUGUUUAGGCGAGUUUGUCUUUAUUGUUGCUGUUUUCAUUAAAAAAUUAAAAUAAAUAAAACAAUGAACCAUACCCAUUUGUUUUAAAAGAGGGAAAAGACCUUACGACGCAAGUAGCCUAGGCUUAUUCAUUUUGUUAAUAAAAGUUAGAUGUUUAAUAUAGGCCUAUGCGAAUUUGCCAUUAUACUAUUUUAUGGCUGAUGUGUUUUAUGAACCACAAACUACGAUCGUUUUAAAGAAAGGGGAAAUCCAAAAACCUUUUAUUUAUUUGUUACAAAUGUGGGUUUGUCUUACUCGUUCAGUUAAUAAAUUUUUUAUGUUUAAUAUAAGCUGCUUUGUCAUUGUAGUAUUACUGAUGUUGUGUGUGGGAUUUUGUUUGUUCAUUAAGUGUAAUCCUGAAUCAACCAUAAGCAUUAAUUUUGUUCCAAGAAUAGGAAAGAUCUAACGUUAAAGAUCAAAAUAAGCGCUGCAGAUGCGAGAAUACUUGCUGCUGAGGUAAAUAGACGCUCUCGCUCAUUCUCUGCUGCAUCUUUGCAAUGGCUGUAGAAAUGGUCAUUAAUUCUUGAUUUAGGUACGACACAGACAUGUUACAGGUAAUAAUAUGAUUAAAAAAGUCAUGGCAACAAACGACUUCCUAAGUCAGUUUAAGUUUAAUGCCUCAGCUAGAGAUGAUGUACGUUGCGCAUCUGCGGCAACUUGCUGAAUUGUGUUAAUUGGGUUUCUUGCUUUCAUUCUCACUACGAGAUACCUGUCUGUGAUGCAAUGCCCUGUUAUACUGCAUUUUUUUAUAUAAUAUUUAAGGUUUCUAUAGCCAUGGCAUCGUUAUGAUGUAUUAAGAAGUGGAUUUAUUCAUGUAGGACACCACUGAAGGCCUAGGUGUGAAAUUGAUGGACCGCUACUGCUUUAAUUACGAAAGGCAUCCACAAAGCUACCAACUGGAGAAUAUGUUAGUAACACUAACAGAUCAUCAAGGAGCAAUAACCUUGACAGUGAGCAAAGAAAUUGCUGAAAGAAUAAAGAAUGGUGAGUAAAAAAUUAUUCACUGAUGAUGGAAUGAUUUGACUUUAUUUUUGUUGAUUGAAUUUUUAUUUAUGUGUUUAUUUAUUUAUUUUCAGAGAAAAAAAUAUGCAACUUAUAUAAUGCAACAAGUGAGAACUGCAGGACAAAAACAUUUUAUUUUUAACCAUGCUAACAUUUCAAAUGGUUAUGUGAAAAAAUACUUUUGUUCCCCUUGGCAGAUAGUACCCAUUGUCCAGCAACUUCAAUCUGCCCCCCUCCUGUUACUGCCAUCAUCCAGUAUCCCUUGUCCAGUGCCCCGUUAAAAUGAGCAAAAUGGAUCUUACACCACAACCUUCAAAAUCUACUAUACACACAAUCCUCAGUCUCAUUUAAUGAAGUCGAAACGUCAAGAAUCCCAACAUAAAUUCACACACAAGACCACACUGCUGCUGCUUGACCUCACAGGAAGGUACUUACAUAUGUGCCACAGAAAUAAAAUGGCAUUCUACAAAAAACUUGAGCAAGCUUUCAAAGAAAGGGGUUACAAAUUCAGUAAUGAUAAGUUGAGAAAAAAAUUUGGCAACAUGCUCACAACCUAUAAAAGGGCUAAAGACCGGUGUCGGGCAACAGGAGAGGUAACAAUAACAUGAUAGUAUUACAAGGUUAGUGUGUUUUAUGUACUGCAAUCACUGGUUUUACAUUAAAAAUAAAAUCUUAAGCAUGUCCAUUCACAUUUGUUUCAUGUUUUCCCACAGCAAAUGGAAGACUUAUUUGGAAAAUCCGAGUUGGGAUUGCACCAUCAGGCACAAUACGUCCAACUCCACAAACCUCAGCUGGACAGGCCUCGAGCUCCCAGGAACCGCCUCUCCCUGAAGAGCAACCUGGUCCCUCCGCUGCUGUCCCCGCUACAGAACCACAAAGAAAGAGACAAUCAAGACCAACGUUCUGUGACGUUUCUGAAGAGCAUUCAGAGAGGAGAACCGCUGCUCUGGAGUCACUAGUACAGACUGACAUGGAACGAUGGAGAAGAGUGUUAGAAAAAAAACAAAAAAACACUAACAUGCCUUGGGCAAAUAACUGACCAACUAAAAAAAAAGCUAAAUCCCAAGAAAUGCUCAUUAAUCUGUUAAGAAAAUAAAAUAUAACUAUACA
Onychostoma macrolepis is the source of this 5371-nucleotide long non-coding RNA. RefSeq lists it as uncharacterized. Lineage: Eukaryota; Metazoa; Chordata; Actinopteri; Cypriniformes; Cyprinidae. The transcript is spliced from 5 exons. The record is from RefSeq and is a predicted model, not a curated record.